CCUACGGGAGGCAGCAGUGGGGAAUUUUGGACAAUGGGCGCAAGCCUGAUCCAGCAAUGCCGCGUGCAGGAUGAAGGCCUUCGGGUUGUAAACUGCUUUUGUACGGAACGAAACGGUCUGCUCUAAUACAGUGGGCUAAUGACGGUACCGUAAGAAUAAGCACCGGCUAACUACGUGCCAGCAGCCGCGGUAAU
Molecule: ribosomal RNA, 194 nt
Filed under: uncultured bacterium
Lineage: Bacteria
Description: partial 16S ribosomal RNA
Rfam family: Bacterial small subunit ribosomal RNA
Source: RNAcentral